This is a small nuclear RNA of Macaca fascicularis (crab-eating macaque), 113 nucleotides long. Its record names the gene U2. It matches the Rfam family "U2 spliceosomal RNA". Rfam says of the family: U2 is a small nuclear RNA (snRNA) component of the spliceosome (involved in pre-mRNA splicing). Complementary binding between U2 snRNA (in an area lying towards the 5' end but 3' to hairpin I) and the branchpoint sequence (BPS) of the intron results the bulging out of an unpaired adenosine, on the BPS, which initiates a nucleophilic attack at the intronic 5' splice site, thus starting the first of two transesterification reactions that mediate splicing. The record is from Ensembl. Lineage: Eukaryota; Metazoa; Chordata; Mammalia; Primates; Cercopithecidae.
AUCGCUUCUUGGCCUUUUGGCUAAGAUCAAGUGUAAAAAAGUUUUUUUGUAGAGACAAUAUAUUGCUAUGUUGCCCAGGCUGGCCUCGAACUCCUGGAUUCAACGAUCCUUUU